GGACGGGACUCUGGAGAGACUCUUUAAAUAGAGCACCGAAGGGGAAAGCGUUCGUUUUGAAAAGAACGUCAAACUCUCAGGUAAAAGGACAGAGAAAAGGGC
This 102-nucleotide non-coding RNA is filed under the name unidentified. Its description in RNAcentral is "Delta proteobacterium Glycine sequence". It matches the Rfam family "Glycine riboswitch aptamer". From Rfam's summary of the family: This family represents the bacterial glycine riboswitch. The record is from RNAcentral.